ACUGCUCAGUAACACGUGGACAACCUGCCCUUAGGUUGGGUAUAAACCCGGGAAACUGGGUAUAAUACCCGAUAGGUCUCGAUUGCUGGAAUGCAUCGAGAUUUAAAGCUCCGGCGCCUAAGGAUGGGUCUGCGGCCUAUCAGGUAGUAGUGGGUGUAGCGUACCUACUAGCCUACGACGGGUACGGGUUGUGAGAGCAAGAGCCCGGAGAUGGAUUCUGAGACACGAAUCCAGGCCCUACGGGGCGCAGCAGGCGCGAAAACUUUACCAUGCGGGCAACCGUGAUAAGGAAACCCCGAGUGCCAGCACAGGCUGGCUGUCCGCCAGUUUAAACAACUGGCGAAGAAAGGGCCGGGCAAGACCGGUGCCAGCCGCCGCGGCAAUACCGGCGGCUCGAGUGGUGGCCGCUAUUACUGGGCUUAAAGGGUCCGUAGCUUGAUAAUAGGGUCCCUUGAGAAAUCCGCCGGCUUAACUGGCGGGCGUUCAGGGGAAACUUGUUUUCUAGGGACCGGGAGAGGUGAGGGGUACUGCCGGGGUAGGAGUGAAAUCCUGUAAUCCCGGUGGGACCACCUAUGGCGAAGGCAUCUCACCAGAACGGGUCCGACAGUGAGGGACGAAAGCUGGGGGAGCAAACCGGAUUAGAUACCCGGGUAGUCCCAGCUGUAAACUAUGUGCGUUAGGUGUGUCAGUGACCACGUGUCACUGAGGUGCCGAAGGGAAACCGUGAAACGCACCGCCUGGGGAGUACGGUCGCAAGGCUGAAACUUAAAGGAAUUGGCGGGGGAGCAC
RNAcentral lists this ribosomal RNA (789 nucleotides) under uncultured archaeon. Its description in RNAcentral is "bacterial SSU rRNA". It matches the Rfam family "Archaeal small subunit ribosomal RNA", at positions 85 to 879 of the family's 1478-position model. The record is from RNAcentral.